This 1604-nucleotide long non-coding RNA is filed under the name Homo sapiens (human). RNAcentral's name for it is "HSALNT0255417". Lineage: Eukaryota; Metazoa; Chordata; Mammalia; Primates; Hominidae. The record is from RNAcentral.
CCGAGAUCAUGCCACUGCACUCUAGUCUGGGCAACAGAGCGAGACUCAGUCUCAAAAAUAAAUACAUACAUACAUGCAAAAAUAAAAAAUAAAACAAAAACAAAUUAAAAUUUUUUCUUUUAAUUAUUAUUCAUUCAGUUGAAAACUCAUUUCAUUUAAAAAACAAAGAUCAUUUUAAUGCAGGGUAAGGAUGUGUGUGUGUGUGUGUGUGCGUGUGUGCAGGGGAGGCUAGUGCAAUCUGGGGAAGGAUGGGGUGAGGUGGCAGAAGGGACAGGGACCCAAGGAAGGAAGGGAGAGGAGGGACUGGACUUAAGAAAUUUUGUAAAAGAGUCAACAGGAUGUGGGGGUGAGCAGCAGGCGGGGCACACAUGACUGAGGUCUGCAGUCUGAAGAUGCCUGUAACCUAGAUAGGAGAUGAUUAUCUUUUAGCAUAUGCUAAACGUUUAAGAUAAUGGCCAUGGUGCCGUGCACAGUGGCUCAGACCAUAGCAGGACUCCAGUCUUAGUCCCAGUUAGGUGAAGACUAAGAGGGCACAGAAAUGGGAUUGGGGUGCAGGGGGCAGGAGUGACCCAGAGUGCAUUGAGGGUGGGAGCAUGUGGCAUGUGGGACCUGCCUCUCUCCAUAGGUCCCAGAUGGGUUUGGCGGCUGUAGCUUCAAGACUAACAGGACCUGCUGGACCAUUUGGGAUGCAGAUUUUGGAAGGGAAACUGAGACAAAUUCUUUAUUUUCUUUUCUUUCUUUUUUUUUUUUUUGAGAUGGAGUCUCGCUCUGUUGCCCAGGCUGGAGGGCAGUGGCGCAAUCUCGGCUCACUGCAAGCUCCUUCUCCCAGGUUCAUGCCAUUUUCCUGCCUCAGCCUCCCGAGCAGCUGGGACUACAGGCGCCCGCCACCACGCCCGGCUACUUUUUUGUAUUUUUAGUAGAGACAAGGUUUCCCCAUGUUAGCCAGGAUGGUCUCGAUCUCCUGACCUUGUGAUCUGCCCGCCUCGGCCUCCCAAAGUGCUAGGAUUACAGGUGUGAGGCACCGCGCCCACCUCCUCCCUCCCUCCCUCCCUUCCUUCCUUUCUUUUUUUCUGAGACAGGGUCUUGCUCUGUUGCCCAGGCUGGAGUGCAGUGGCAUGAUCUCGGCUCACGGCAGCCUCUGCCUCCCGGGUUCAAGUGAUUCUCCUGCUUCAGCCUUCCCAGUAGCUGGGAUUACAGGCAGGCACCACCACACCCGGCUUUUUUUUUUUUCUUUUUUAAAUUUUUAGUAGAAACAGGGUUUUGCUGUGUUAUCCAGGCUGGUCUUGAACUCCUGGUCUCACGUGAUCUGCCCGCCUCAGCCUCCCAAAGUGCUGGGAUUACAGGCGUGAGCCACUGCGCCCAGCCCAAACUGGGACAAAUUCAAGCUUUAUGGUCACAUAUGAAUGCAAGGCAUGGCUCUGUGCAGUCUUGGGUCAGUGAACCUCUCUGAACCUCCAUUGUUCCACCUGUAAGAUGGGGUCCUUCACAGCUCCUACCUCACAGGGCUGUGAAAACAUCGUCCUUGUUGGGCACUUAGUAAGUUAACUCGUGCUUUCACCUGGCAAAGGUUUAUUGCCUUAGUGAUGACAGAAUGAGCAAAGUCA